RNAcentral lists this transfer RNA (89 nucleotides) under Mycobacterium tuberculosis. Its description in RNAcentral is "tRNA-Gly(gcc)". Lineage: Bacteria; Bacillati; Actinomycetota; Actinomycetes; Mycobacteriales; Mycobacteriaceae. The record is from RNAcentral.
ACGCCGGCCGCGCCGGAUCCGCCGGCGCCGCCGUUGCCGCCGGCGCCGCCGUUGACGCCGGCCGCGCCGGAUCCUCCGGCGCCGCCGUU